RNAcentral lists this long non-coding RNA (509 nucleotides) under Pan troglodytes (chimpanzee). Its description in RNAcentral is "long non-coding RNA NONPTRT012147". Lineage: Eukaryota; Metazoa; Chordata; Mammalia; Primates; Hominidae. The record is from RNAcentral.
UCCACAUCUUAAACAUGCACACACUCAAACACACAUACACAAAGAAUGACAAAGUAUCCCUCACAUUCUAGGAAGGAAAAUGUGGAAAAUGUAUGAAAUAAGAUAUGCAAAAAUAUUAUGUAAAACAAAUUUAUAAGCAGUGAGACUCCACAGAAGGGUAUUUUGUAUGCCAUUUUUAUUAUGGGCCAAAUGGAAAGAAACAGUACUGAAAAGUAAAAAAAAAAUAAAAAAUAAAAGAAAUAAUAAAUGCAGAUGAAGCCUAUGGUAUUCAUUCUGAUUAAUCAUGAAUAGAAAUAAUAUAUUACAUAGUUACUCUAUACAACCACCAACACUUUAAUAUUCUGUGUGGGGUUUUUAAGGAUUUCAGUGAUGAAGGGAAGACAGCAACGCUAAGAGGACAAAGAGCACUCAGCUGAAUCUAGAGAAUGUUUUGCUGAAGUUGCAUGCAUUGUCAGAGCAACACCUUCACUCAUAGGCUGCAGCAUAGAAUCUGUAAUGAGCUUCAUCUA